AAAAAUCUUUUCUUUUCUUUUCUAUUGGGUUUCGAUUGGUGUUUUUAAUUCUUGAAAAUGGAACAAGGGCCAAUUCUUUCUCCCCAUAUACUCAUCUUUCCUGCCGCAGGCCAAGGCCAUGUGAACUCCUUACUCAAGCUUGCAGAGCUUUUAUGCCUUGCUGGCUUUAAGAUCACCUUCAUAAAUUUCCAGAAUAUCCAUGAACGUCUAGUUCGUCAUACAGAUGUUGAAGCUCGUUUUUCCAAAUAUUAUGGAUUCCAAUUCAAAACCAUACCAGGUUGUGAGGCAGAAGAUCCUCGACCGGCCGACUGGGUGAGAAAGUUAUUUCAGGAAAUGGAAGUGAAGAGCAAGCCAAUUUUCAAGAAGAUGGUGAUUGAGAGUAACCCAGCAGUUAACUAUAUCAUCGGAGAUGGGGUGAUGGGAUUUGUCUAUGAUGUCGCUGUUGAGGUUGGGAUUCCUACUAUUCAGAUGCACUGCAUCAGUGCUUGCUCCUUCUGGACUUUCUUUUCUAUUCCUGACGUUGUUGCUGCUCAUCAACUUCCUAUCAAAGGAAAAGAAGACAUGGACAGGUUGAUCACAAAAGUACCGGGAAUGGAAACGUUUCUCCGGUGCCGGGAUCUUCCAGGAGGUUUUUGCCAAGUUAGCCACAUAUCAGACCCUAAUCUCUUCGUCAUCACCAAAGAGAUACGACAAUCCCAAGCACUCAUCAUCAACACCUUUGAAGAGCUAGAAGGACCAAUACUUUCCCAAAUACGCAUUCGCUACCCUAAAAUCUACACAAUCGGACCUCUCCACAAGCAUCUGAAAGCAAAACUAAGAAGCAUCGAAAAGCAAGAGUCGUAUUCAUCCUCGACCAGUCUUUGGGAAGUUGACAGGACCUGCAUCACAUGGCUGGAUAACCAGCCAUCGCAAUCUGUACUCUAUGCAAGCUUUGGUAGCAUUACAAUUAUGACUAGACAGCAGCUCAUGGAAUUCUGGCACGGUCUAGUUAAUAGCAAAAAGUUCUUGUGGGUUAUAAGGCCUGAAUCUGUUAUUAACCAAGAUGGUGAUAAUCUUGGAAAAAUUCCUGAGCAGCUUCAGGAGGGAGAAAAGGAAAAAGGAUACAUCGUCAAAUGGGCACCCCAGGAAGAGGUUUUGGCACACAAGGCAAUUGGUGGGUUCUUGACACACAGUGGAUGGAACUCUACUUUGGAGAGCAUAGCGGCUGGUGUGCCUAUGAUUUGCUGGCCUUACUUUGGUGAUCAGCAAGUGAAUAGCAGGUAUGUGAGUGAGAUUUGGAAGCUGGGAUUGGACAUGAAGGAUGUAUGUGAUAGAAGGGUUGUGGAGAAGAUGGUGAAUGAUCUGAUGGUGGAUAGGAGGGAGGAGUAUGUAAAGUCAACGGCUAGGAUGCAAGAGUUAGCAAGUAAGAGCGUAUCAGAAGAUGGAUCUUCUUCUUGUUGUCUGAACCGUCUGAUCGAGGACAUAAGGUUGAUGAACAAGAAGGCAUAUGCCAGCGACAAAUGACAAGGAUAACUUGUCACAAUAAAGAAUAUUUUUUUAUUUAUUAUUUUCUUUACUCUUGUUUAGAUGAAAAGAAAAAUAAAAAAAAAUAAGAAAAAUAAAGUAUUAUCUGAAAGAGGAAAAAAUUAAGAGAGAAAAAUUUAUCACGAAUUUAUAAUUUUAUUCUAUAUAUUUUCAAGAGAAUUUAAGUAAAAAGAAUAAUUUUAGAAUUU
Molecule: unclassified non-coding RNA, 1712 nt
Filed under: Hevea brasiliensis (rubber tree)
Lineage: Eukaryota; Viridiplantae; Streptophyta; Magnoliopsida; Malpighiales; Euphorbiaceae
Source: RNAcentral